Long non-coding RNA from Pan paniscus (pygmy chimpanzee), 598 nucleotides. The record is from Ensembl. Lineage: Eukaryota; Metazoa; Chordata; Mammalia; Primates; Hominidae.
GAUAGUGGCAAUCAUUUAUUAAGCAUUGCCCUGGCCUAAGGCACCACAUGGGUCAUUUCUUCCAGGCUCCAACUUGCUUCUGCUUUGCCAUAUGGUAACACACCGUAUUAUGGAAGCACCAUCAUUACCGCCAUUUGCAGGGGAAGCCUAAAGAGUUUCCCAUCAACAGCCCUGCAGUAAAAAUUCAGGGCUUCAGAGACAAACAUUUCAUGAGUACAGACUGUGAUGAGGAAAAGCAAGCCAUUCCCUCUCUACCAGGAUCCAGAGCACACUGCUGUUACGACUCCGGAACCGACAAGGAAGCUAUGUGUGGAAGUAUGAGCUCGGGUCGCCUUCUGACCCUCUGUGACGGUCUAUUUCAGGCAGUUAUGGAUAGAUAACAUUACAGACACUGGGAUCUUUAACAAGUGACACAAACAAGAGAAGAAGCAGACAGGACCAUUUAACUUCAAACUCCACCGAAGAGAGCUGAAUUGUAAGCUUCCUACAGCAAGCCCGGCUGGCGGCUAUGUGGCAGUCUUCAUUUCUCAGCGGAAAAGCCACUCCCUUGAGACUCUCCAGGCACCCCCCAGCCGCAUUUUUUAUCAAGUGUCUAAAA